Sorex araneus (European shrew) is the source of this 130-nucleotide small nucleolar RNA. The record is from Ensembl. NCBI's taxonomy places the organism in Eukaryota, Metazoa, Chordata, Mammalia, Eulipotyphla, Soricidae.
GUGCAACACUCAUCACUAAUUCUGAAUGAUACUGAAGUGAGUGGAAUCAGGUUUGCUAAAAUAACUGCUGUGAUAAAAGCGCAUCACCUUCAGAUACUACUGAGGUUGCCUACUCUAUCCUAGUAUCCCU